CUCGAUGUUUAUGGGAGGUCUAGCCUGCCCACUGAAGGAGUUAAAGGGCCGCGGUAUUUUGACCGUGCAAAGGUAGCAUAAUCAUUAGUCUUCUAAUUAAAGGCUGGAAUGAAUGGCUGGACGAGGUAUUAGCUGUCUCUUUGGGAGAGAUUUGAAUUUAACUUUCUAGUGAAAAGGCUGGGAUAGUAUUGGAGGACGAGAAGACCCUAUAGAGCUUUACAUUUACUGUUACUUUAAUUGGUUUGGUUGGAGUUAGAUUUUGUGGCAGGAGUGUUUCGUUGGGGUGACGAGAAGAAAUAAGAAACUCUUCUUGGAAUGAGCCACAAAUUAGUGAUUGAUUGAUCCACUUUUAGUGAUUAGAAGACUAAGUUACCUUAGGGAUAACAGCGUAAUCUUUUUUGAGAGUUCUAAUCGACAAGAAGGGUUGCGACCUCGAUGUUGGACUAAGGGUGAUUCUUGGGUGCAGAAGUUCAAGGUUUAGGUCUGUUCGACCUUUGAAUCCUUA
This 505-nucleotide ribosomal RNA is filed under the name Stenacron interpunctatum. RNAcentral's name for it is "partial 16S ribosomal RNA". It matches the Rfam family "Bacterial large subunit ribosomal RNA", at positions 1837 to 2598 of the family's 2925-position model. Lineage: Eukaryota; Metazoa; Arthropoda; Insecta; Ephemeroptera; Heptageniidae. The record is from RNAcentral. RNAcentral also lists the same sequence under 1 other name.